This 301-nucleotide ribosomal RNA is filed under the name uncultured bacterium. RNAcentral's name for it is "partial 16S ribosomal RNA". It matches the Rfam family "Bacterial small subunit ribosomal RNA", at positions 509 to 809 of the family's 1533-position model. The record is from RNAcentral.
CAGUAGCCACGGUAAUACGGAGGGUGCAAGCGUUAAUCGGAAUUACUGGGCGUAAAGCGCACGCAGGCGGUCUGUCAAGUCAGAUGUGAAAUCCCCGGGCUUAACCUGGGAACUGCAUUUGAAACUGGCAGGCUAGAGUCUUGUAGAGGGGGGUAGAAUUCCAGGUGUAGCGGUGAAAUGCGUAGAGAUCUGGAGGAAUACCGGUGGCGAAGGCGGCCCCCUGGACAAAGACUGACGCUCAGGUGCGAAAGCGUGGGGAGCAAACAGGAUUAGAUACCCCAGUAGUCCCUGUCUUUUAUAC